This 146-nucleotide RNase P RNA is filed under the name Yersiniaceae bacterium. Its description in RNAcentral is "partial RNase P RNA component class A". It matches the Rfam family "Bacterial RNase P class A", at positions 208 to 367 of the family's 367-position model. Rfam says of the family: Ribonuclease P (RNase P) is a ubiquitous endoribonuclease, found in archaea, bacteria and eukarya as well as chloroplasts and mitochondria. Its best characterised activity is the generation of mature 5'-ends of tRNAs by cleaving the 5'-leader elements of precursor-tRNAs. Lineage: Bacteria; Pseudomonadati; Pseudomonadota; Gammaproteobacteria; Enterobacterales; Yersiniaceae. The record is from RNAcentral.
AAACUCCACCCGGAGCAAGGCCAAAUAGGGGUUCACAUGGUACGGCCCGUACUGAACCCGGGUAGGCUGCUUGAGCCAGUGAGCGAUUGCUGGCCUAGACGAAUGACUGUCCACGACAGAACCCGGCUUACCGGUCAACUCCACUC